Molecule: transfer RNA, 73 nt
Filed under: Camelus bactrianus (Bactrian camel)
Lineage: Eukaryota; Metazoa; Chordata; Mammalia; Artiodactyla; Camelidae
Also listed under: 3 other names
Rfam family: tRNA
About the family: Transfer RNA (tRNA) molecules are approximately 80 nucleotides in length. Their secondary structure includes four short double-helical elements and three loops (D, anti-codon, and T loops).
Source: Rfam by way of RNAcentral
GAAAGUAUAGCUCAAGUCGUAGAGCACCUGCUUAGCGUGCACGAGGUCCUGGGUUCAAUCCCCAGUGCUUCCA